UAAAGCUAAUAAGAGCGCAGGGUGAAUGCCUUGGCAUUGGGAGCCGAAGAAGGACGUGGUAAGCUGCGAUAAGCUGCGGGGAAUUGCAAGCAAGUUUUGAUCCGCAGAUUUCCGAAUGGAGCAAUCCGUCAGGAGUUAUGUCCUGACAUCAUAUACUGAAUAAAAUAGGUAUAUGAGGGGAACCGCCUGAACUGAAACAUCUAAGUAGGGCGAGGAAAAGAAAUCAACUGAGAUUCUGUUAGUAGUGGCGAGCGAAAGCGGAAGAGGCCAAACCUUAGGUAGAAAUACCUGAGGGGUUAGGACUGCAUUUAGCAUUCAGAUUUGUUAGAAGAAGCGUAUGGGAAGACGCGCCGGAGGACGUGAGAGCCGUGUAUUUGAAAACGAAUCUGAGCGAGCAGUAUCCAGAGUACCGCGGGGCACGUGAAAUCCCGUGGGAAUACGGGGGGACCACCCUCCAAGCCUAAAUACUACCCAAUGACCGAUAGCGAAUAGUACUGUGAAGGAAAGGUGAAAAGCACCCCGGGAGGGGAGUGAAAAAGAACCUGAAACCCUGUGCUUACAAGCACUGAGAGCACGUCAAUGUGUGAUCAGGUACCUAUUGUAGAAUGGUCCGGCGAGUUAUGGUAUGCAGCAAGGUUAAGUACUUAAGGUACGGAGCCACAGCGAGAGCGAGUCUGAAUAGGGCGAAUAAGUUGUAUGCUAUAGACCCGAAACCGAGUGACCUAGCCAUGUCCAGGCUGAAGUGGAGGUAAAACUCCAUGGAGGGCCGAACCGACCUCCGUUGAAAAGGCGGCGGAUGAGGUGUGGCUAGCGGAGAAAUUCCAAUCGAACUCGGAUAUAGCUGGUUCUCUCCGAAAUAGCUUUAGGGCUAGCGUUGAUUGAUGAUUACCGGAGGUAAAGCACUGAAUAGGCUAGGGGCCGAGAGGUUACUGAACCUUAUCAAACUAAGAAUGCCGGAUAAUUUAGAUCAGCAGUCAGACAGCGUGAGAUAAGUUUCGUUGUCAAAAGGGAAAGAGCCCAGACCCACAGCUAAGGUCCCUAAGUACAUUUAAGUGGAAAAGGAUGUGGGGUUGCACAAACAACCAGGAUGUUGGCUUAGAAGCAGCCAUACAUUAAAAGAGUGCGUAAUAGCUCACUGGUCGAGUGACCCUGCGCCGAAAAUUCAACGGGGCUAAAAUGUACACCGAAGCUUGGGCUUCUAGAAGCAAGAAACGAGAAGCAAGAAGCAAGAAUAGAGAUGAUGUACCAAUGAUAGGUAGCUAUAAAGACAUAAAGGCUUAUGAAAAGAGCUACAAAAUGUCUAUAAAGAUAUAUCAGGAGGUACGAAAGUUUCCUAAAGAAGAACUGUUUGGAAUGACAAGUCAGCUGAAAAGAGCAGCAGCAAGUAUUCCUUUAAAUAUAGCAGAGGGCUAUGGGAAAAGGGUAUGUCCAAAUGAGUUUAAAAGGUUUUUACUGAUGGCAAUAGGUUCAUGCGAUGAAAUGAAGGUAUUGCUUGAAAUGAGUAAAGAUUUAGGAUUUAUUGAUAUAAAGAUUUACGAAGAAUAUGUCAGUGAAUACGAAGAAAUAGGGAAAAUUCUUAAUGGCUUGUAUAAGAGGUGGGAGUAAAAAUCCUGCAUCUUGCAUCUGGUUUCUUGCUUCUGGAGGGGUAGGAGAGCGUCGUAUAAGAGGAGAAGUCAGAGCGGAAGCGCUGGUGGAUUUUAUACGAGUGAGAAUGCCGGAAUGAGUAGCGAGAAUUAUGUGAGAAUCAUAAUGGCCGAAAAUCUAAGGUUUUAGGAGGAAGGUUCGUCCGCUCCUAGUAAGCCGGGAGCUAAGGUGAGGCGGAAACGCGUAGCCGAUGCACAUACGGUUGAAAUUCCGUAGCCUCCGAAGGAUUUAAACAAAGGGACACUUUGAAAGCGAUGUUGCCGGGCGUUGGUUGCCCCGGUCGUAAGGGACCGAAAUUAAGUAGGGAAGUCAUCGUGGACGAAGGCGAGAAAAGCUUUGUGAAUAUCCAAGGAGCCCGUACCGCAAACCGACACAGGUAGAUAGGAAGAAAAUUCUAAGGCCAACGGGAGAAGGGUAGUUAAGGAACUCGGCAAGUUGACCCCGUAACUUAGGGAUAAGGGGUGCUCUCGAAAGAGAGCCGCAGAGAAUAGGCCCAGGCGACUGUUUAGCAAAAACACAGCUCUAUGCUAAAUCGAAAGAUGAUGUAUAUGGGGUGACACCUGCCCGGUGCCGGAAGGUUAAGAGGAGGAGUGAGAGCUCUGAAUUGAAGCCCCGGUAAACGGCGGCCGUAACUAUAACGGUCCUAAGGUAGCGAAAUUCCUUGUCAGGUAAGUUCUGACCCGCACGAAUGGCGUAACGAUCUGGGCACUGUCUCAACUACCCGCCCGGCGAAAUUGUAGUACCGGUGAAGAUGCCGGUUACCCGCGACUAGACGGAAAGACCCCAUGGAGCUUUACUGUAGCUUAAUGUUGAAUUUCGGUAUUUCAUGUACAGGAUAGGUGGGAGACUAAGAAGCAGGGGCGUCAGCUUCUGUGGAGUCAACCUUGGGAUACCACUCUUGAAGUGCUGGAAUUCUAACCUGCGGCCGUGAAUCCGGUCGGGGGACAUCGUUAGGUGGGCAGUUUGACUGGGGCGGUCGCCUCCCAAAGAGUAACGGAGGCGCUCAAAGGUUCGCUCAGCAUGGACGGAAACCAUGCUCUUGAGUGUAAACGCAAAAGCGAGCCUAACUGCGAGACUGACGGGUCGAGCAGUAACGAAAGUUGGAGUUAGUGAUCCGGCGGUAUGUGAGUGGAAAUGCCGUCGCUCAACGGAUAAAAGCUACCCUGGGGAUAACAGGCUGAUCUCCCCCAAGAGUCCACAUCGACGGGGAGGUUUGGCACCUCGAUGUCGGCUCAUCGCAUCCUGGGGCUGUAUUCGGUCCCAAGGGUUUGGCUGUUCGCCAAUUAAAGCGGUACGCGAGCUGGGUU
Molecule: ribosomal RNA, 2951 nt
Filed under: activated sludge metagenome
Description: bacterial LSU rRNA
Rfam family: Bacterial large subunit ribosomal RNA
Source: RNAcentral